Molecule: transfer RNA, 71 nt
Filed under: Prevotella sp.
Lineage: Bacteria; Pseudomonadati; Bacteroidota; Bacteroidia; Bacteroidales; Prevotellaceae
Also listed under: 1 other name
Description: tRNA-Cys
Rfam family: tRNA
About the family: Transfer RNA (tRNA) molecules are approximately 80 nucleotides in length.
Source: RNAcentral
GGUGCCUUAACAAAGCGGUUAUGUGGUGGUCUGCAAAACCAUAUAGAGCGGUUCGACUCCGCUAGGCACCU